RNAcentral lists this ribosomal RNA (2690 nucleotides) under Staphylococcus aureus. Its description in RNAcentral is "23S ribosomal RNA". It matches the Rfam family "Bacterial large subunit ribosomal RNA". Lineage: Bacteria; Bacillati; Bacillota; Bacilli; Caryophanales; Staphylococcaceae. The record is from RNAcentral.
UUAAGUUAUUAAGGGCGCACGGUGGAUGCCUUGGCACUAGAAGCCGAUGAAGGACGUUACUAACGACGAUAUGCUUUGGGGAGCUGUAAGUAAGCUUUGAUCCAGAGAUUUCCGAAUGGGGAAACCCAGCAUGAGUUAUGUCAUGUUAUCGAUAUGUGAAUACAUAGCAUAUCAGAAGGCACACCCGGAGAACUGAAACAUCUUAGUACCCGGAGGAAGAGAAAGAAAAUUCGAUUCCCUUAGUAGCGGCGAGCGAAACGGGAAGAGCCCAAACCAACAAGCUUGCUUGUUGGGGUUGUAGGACACUCUAUACGGAGUUACAAAGGACGACAUUAGACGAAUCAUCUGGAAAGAUGAAUCAAAGAAGGUAAUAAUCCUGUAGUCGAAAAUGUUGUCUCUCUUGAGUGGAUCCUGAGUACGACGGAGCACGUGAAAUUCCGUCGGAAUCUGGGAGGACCAUCUCCUAAGGCUAAAUACUCUCUAGUGACCGAUAGUGAACCAGUACCGUGAGGGAAAGGUGAAAAGCACCCCGGAAGGGGAGUGAAAUAGAACCUGAAACCGUGUGCUUACAAGUAGUCAGAGCCCGUUAAUGGGUGAUGGCGUGCCUUUUGUAGAAUGAACCGGCGAGUUACGAUUUGAUGCAAGGUUAAGCAGUAAAUGUGGAGCCGUAGCGAAAGCGAGUCUGAAUAGGGCGUUUAGUAUUUGGUCGUAGACCCGAAACCAGGUGAUCUACCCUUGGUCAGGUUGAAGUUCAGGUAACACUGAAUGGAGGACCGAACCGACUUACGUUGAAAAGUGAGCGGAUGAACUGAGGGUAGCGGAGAAAUUCCAAUCGAACCUGGAGAUAGCUGGUUCUCUCCGAAAUAGCUUUAGGGCUAGCCUCAAGUGAUGAUUAUUGGAGGUAGAGCACUGUUUGGACGAGGGGCCCCUCUCGGGUUACCGAAUUCAGACAAACUCCGAAUGCCAAUUAAUUUAACUUGGGAGUCAGAACAUGGGUGAUAAGGUCCGUGUUCGAAAGGGAAACAGCCCAGACCACCAGCUAAGGUCCCAAAAUAUAUGUUAAGUGGAAAAGGAUGUGGCGUUGCCCAGACAACUAGGAUGUUGGCUUAGAAGCAGCCAUCAUUUAAAGAGUGCGUAAUAGCUCACUAGUCGAGUGACACUGCGCCGAAAAUGUACCGGGGCUAAACAUAUUACCGAAGCUGUGGAUUGUCCUUUGGACAAUGGUAGGAGAGCGUUCUAAGGGCGUUGAAGCAUGAUCGUAAGGACAUGUGGAGCGCUUAGAAGUGAGAAUGCCGGUGUGAGUAGCGAAAGACGGGUGAGAAUCCCGUCCACCGAUUGACUAAGGUUUCCAGAGGAAGGCUCGUCCGCUCUGGGUUAGUCGGGUCCUAAGCUGAGGCCGACAGGCGUAGGCGAUGGAUAACAGGUUGAUAUUCCUGUACCACCUAUAAUCGUUUUAAUCGAUGGGGGGACGCAGUAGGAUAGGCGAAGCGUGCGAUUGGAUUGCACGUCUAAGCAGUAAGGCUGAGUAUUAGGCAAAUCCGGUACUCGUUAAGGCUGAGCUGUGAUGGGGAGAAGACAUUGUGUCUUCGAGUCGUUGAUUUCACACUGCCGAGAAAAGCCUCUAGAUAGAAAAUAGGUGCCCGUACCGCAAACCGACACAGGUAGUCAAGAUGAGAAUUCUAAGGUGAGCGAGCGAACUCUCGUUAAGGAACUCGGCAAAAUGACCCCGUAACUUCGGGAGAAGGGGUGCUCUUUAGGGUUAACGCCCAGAAGAGCCGCAGUGAAUAGGCCCAAGCGACUGUUUAUCAAAAACACAGGUCUCUGCUAAACCGUAAGGUGAUGUAUAGGGGCUGACGCCUGCCCGGUGCUGGAAGGUUAAGAGGAGUGGUUAGCUUCUGCGAAGCUACGAAUCGAAGCCCCAGUAAACGGCGGCCGUAACUAUAACGGUCCUAAGGUAGCGAAAUUCCUUGUCGGGUAAGUUCCGACCCGCACGAAAGGCGUAACGAUUUGGGCACUGUCUCAACGAGAGACUCGGUGAAAUCAUAGUACCUGUGAAGAUGCAGGUUACCCGCGACAGGACGGAAAGACCCCGUGGAGCUUUACUGUAGCCUGAUAUUGAAAUUCGGCACAGCUUGUACAGGAUAGGUAGGAGCCUUUGAAACGUGAGCGCUAGCUUACGUGGAGGCGCUGGUGGGAUACUACCCUAGCUGUGUUGGCUUUCUAACCCGCACCACUUAUCGUGGUGGGAGACAGUGUCAGGCGGGCAGUUUGACUGGGGCGGUCGCCUCCUAAAAGGUAACGGAGGCGCUCAAAGGUUCCCUCAGAAUGGUUGGAAAUCAUUCAUAGAGUGUAAAGGCAUAAGGGAGCUUGACUGCGAGACCUACAAGUCGAGCAGGGUCGAAAGACGGACUUAGUGAUCCGGUGGUUCCGCAUGGAAGGGCCAUCGCUCAACGGAUAAAAGCUACCCCGGGGAUAACAGGCUUAUCUCCCCCAAGAGUUCACAUCGACGGGGAGGUUUGGCACCUCGAUGUCGGCUCAUCGCAUCCUGGGGCUGUAGUCGGUCCCAAGGGUUGGGCUGUUCGCCCAUUAAAGCGGUACGCGAGCUGGGUUCAGAACGUCGUGAGACAGUUCGGUCCCUAUCCGUCGUGGGCGUAGGAAAUUUGAGAGGAGCUGUCCUUAGUACGAGAGGA